This 959-nucleotide ribosomal RNA is filed under the name Mycoplasmopsis arginini. RNAcentral's name for it is "bacterial SSU rRNA". It matches the Rfam family "Bacterial small subunit ribosomal RNA", at positions 355 to 1319 of the family's 1533-position model. The record is from RNAcentral. Lineage: Bacteria; Bacillati; Mycoplasmatota; Mycoplasmoidales; Metamycoplasmataceae.
UAGGGAAUAUUUCCACAAUGAGCGAAAGCUUGAUGGAGCGACACAGCGUGCACGAUGAAGGUCUUCGGAUUGUAAAGUGCUGUUAUAGGGAAAGAACACCUGGUUGAGGAAAUGCUUCCAGACUGACGGUACCCUGUCAGAAAGCGAUGGCUAACUAUGUGCCAGCAGCCGCGGUAAUACAUAGGUCGCAAGCGUUAUCCGGAAUUAUUGGGCGUAAAGCGUUCGUAGGCUGUUUAUUAAGUCUGGAGUCAAAUCCCAGGGCUCAACCCUGGCUCGCUUUGGAUACUGGUAAACUAGAGUUAGAUAGAGGUAAGCGGAAUUCCAUGUGAAGCGGUGAAAUGCGUAGAUAUAUGGAAGAACACCAAAGGCGAAGGCAGCUUACUGGGUCUAUACUGACGCUGAGGGACGAAAGCGUGGGGAGCAAACAGGAUUAGAUACCCUGGUAGUCCACGCCGUAAACGAUGAUCAUUAGUCGGUGGAGAGUUCACUGACGCAGCUAACGCAUUAAAUGAUCCGCCUGAGUAGUAUGCUCGCAAGAGUGAAACUUAAAGGAAUUGACGGGGACCCGCACAAGCGGUGGAGCAUGUGGUUUAAUUUGAAGAUACGCGGAGAACCUUACCCACUCUUGACAUCCUUCGCAAUGCUAUAGAGAUAUAGCGGAGGUUAACGGAGUGACAGAUGGUGCAUGGUUGUCGUCAGCUCGUGUCGUGAGAUGUUUGGUCAAGUCCUGCAACGAGCGCAACCCCUAUCUUUAGUUACUAACGAGUCAUGUCGAGGACUCUAGAGAUACUGCCUGGGUAACUGGGAGGAAGGUGGGGAUGACGUCAAAUCAUCAUUCCUCUCACGAGGGGGGCAACACACGUGCUACAAUGGUCGGUACAAAGAGAAGCAAUAUGGCGACAUGGAGCAAAUCUCAAAAAGUCGAUCUCAGUUCGGAUUGGAGUCUGCAAUUCGACUCC